RNAcentral lists this ribosomal RNA (584 nucleotides) under uncultured bacterium. RNAcentral describes it as "partial 16S ribosomal RNA". It matches the Rfam family "Bacterial small subunit ribosomal RNA", at positions 356 to 1375 of the family's 1533-position model. The record is from RNAcentral.
UGGGGAAUUUGGACAAUGGGCGAAAGCCUGAUCCAGCAAUGCCGCGUGUGUGAAGAAGGCCUUCGGGUUGUAAAGCACUUUUGUCCGGAAAGAAAUCCUUGGCUCUAAUACAGUCGGGGGAUGACGGUACCGGAAGAAUAAGCACCGGCUAACUACGUGCCAGCAGCCGCGGUAAUACGUAGGGUGCAAGCGUUAAUCGGAAUUACUGGGCGUAAAGCGUGCGCAGGCGGUUUGCUAAGACCGAUGUGAAAUCCCCGGGCUCAACCUGGGAACUGCAUUGGUGACUGGCAGGCUAGAGUAUGGCAGAGGGGGGUAGAAUUCCACGUGUAGCAGUGAAAUGCGUAGAGAUGAGGAGGAAUACCGAUGGCGAAGGCAGCCCCCUGGGCCAAUACUGACGCUCAUGCACGAAAGCGUGGGGAGCAAACAGGAUUAGAUACCCUGGUAGUCCACGCCCUAAACGAUGUCAACUAGUUGUUGGGGAUUCAUUUCCUUAGUAACGUAGCUAACGCGUGAAGUUGACCGCCUGGGGAGUACGGUCGCAAGAUUAAAACUCAAAUGAAUUGACGGGGUCAUAGCUGUUUCCU